This 21-nucleotide microRNA is filed under the name Homo sapiens (human). RNAcentral describes it as "hsa-miR-5047". Lineage: Eukaryota; Metazoa; Chordata; Mammalia; Primates; Hominidae. The record is from miRBase by way of RNAcentral.
UUGCAGCUGCGGUUGUAAGGU